RNAcentral lists this unclassified non-coding RNA (1091 nucleotides) under Hevea brasiliensis (rubber tree). The record is from RNAcentral. Lineage: Eukaryota; Viridiplantae; Streptophyta; Magnoliopsida; Malpighiales; Euphorbiaceae.
AGCUUUUGUUUAGGAUUGAGGGUAUUGUGUUCUUUGAAGCUUUCUUCCAGGAAAGCUGAUUGCUCCUUAGAAAGUCUGAGUUUCUUCCUAGUCAAUCCGUUCUCUUCAUCAUCACUUGCUCUUGAACUCGCUCUCUCGGCUUCAAUAGCCUCCAUAUCUCUUUUAUUACAUCUACCACCUCCACUGCUCCUAAUCCCAAAAUCCAUCUGAAAUGACGACAAAGCACCAUUCGGCGAUGACAGCACUGCCCCUUUUUCUGCCCCCUCUGCUGACAUCCAGUUCACAUCAAACCUCCUACCUAAUCCAUCUGUGGAAGCAGCUUCACCAUUAUUAUGUUCAUAAUGAACUUCUGUUGUUUUUAGAUCAUUUCUGCUUUUUGUCUUCAGAACACCUUCCACCCUUUUCAGUGCCAUGUCCAAGCAAUUGUCAACUAUAUUUUGGCUCUCGUUGACUGAUACACCUUUAGUAAUGACAUUCAAAGCUUUGCGCAUAAGCAAAUGAACUGCUUGUUGCCUUUUGUCAGCCAUCUCUUGUCCAUAGAGAUCUGCCACGACACCAUCUUUAGCAGAUUUUGUCCACCUCUUUAAUAUGUAUUGGGGUGGUAUAUGAAUGACGUUUCUUGCAUUGAGAACCUUUAAGGUGUGAGCACAUAAAACGCCAACUGAUUCAUAUUUCUUGCAACUACAAACAAUGCUAGAAUUCACACAAUUGUAUUCCACAGUGCUUUUCUUCAGGCCUACCUCUGUCAAUUGGAAUAUAGAAACUGGUCCAUUAGAGGAAAUUUCUCUUAAUGCCACUGACAAAACUUUAUGCAACUCUUUCUGGAAGGCAGUAAACACUGUAUGAGUGUAUAUACCGGCUGCGUGUUUCUCAACCAGACCAUAAUCAAGAGUCAUCUCUGGUACACUUUCAUUGCAAUGAAAAUCUUCAUAUAAUUCUUCCCUACGUUGUUGUUCUGCUGCUUUAAAAUAUUGCUGAACAAACAUCUGUAGAGUUAUGGUUUCACCCAUUAAAUUUUGAAAAAUACUCUUGAUGUUAUCUGAGCAGCGAAUGCCGGCACAAAAACUUUCCUUGUUGAAUAUAUAAGCCCA